Molecule: long non-coding RNA, 1256 nt
Organism: Ipomoea triloba (trilobed morning glory)
Lineage: Eukaryota; Viridiplantae; Streptophyta; Magnoliopsida; Solanales; Convolvulaceae
Exons: 3
Source: RefSeq, a predicted model, not a curated record
UAGCCAACCUGUUAAUUAUUUUGCCAACAAACUCUAAUCAUUCACAAUUAUUUAUUCAGUAUAGGCUAUAUAGAAGGAGACAUUUCUGACAUGACUAACAUUAUAUUAGCUGGUUGUUAUAAGAAUCUGCUCACCGUGUGGUUGCAGCAUGCAAAUUUAUUUAAUAUUGGGAAAUGGGUUCAGCAUUUUUUUCACCAACAGAACUCAUAAUACAGUUUCCUAAUCCUCAUAUUAACAGAAUGAUUUGUUGGAGUAUCAGUAUUUAGCUGGUGAAGGUUAUGUUUCCUCCUGCCUGCCAGAUAUCAGAAGGUUGAUGCCCCAUAGCAACUUUGUCAAAUUCAUAACAUAAGGGGAACAUAAUCUUGACAAUUUUGUUUUUUUUUUUUGUUUUUUGUUUUUUUUUAGAUAUAUGGAGUCAUAGCCAAUCCCUAAUUUUAAUUUUCAUGGGUGAAGGGAAGGGAAUUCUCCUAUAUUCUGUACACACUUACAUUAGGGUUCUAUACUGAAAUCGCACUACAGCACUGCAUUGCAAAAUUUGAUUUAAAUAAUCUCUUGUGACUUUCACUCAAGAAGCAAUUUUGAUUGGAGACGAGACGCAUAAUGUAAUGGCUCAGAUCAAUGUGAUUACCAUAUGCUUUCCUGCAGCAAGUCUGAUCCAGGCAUUUCGCCAUUUCUGCUACUUCACCUCCCAAAACAUAUGUGGCAUGUCUAUACUUGGUUGGAGGACCUCGUACUCAUACACAACAGCAACUCAACCUUACAAUAAAGAGUGGAGGGAGAUCAUGGGAGACAUUCUGUUGCAAUUUCAUAUGCAACUGCAGCUUUUUUAAUCAUCUUUCUACAGAAAGAGCUACUAUUGACUUUCUUUCAUCCUUGUUCAUCUUCUUCCCAAACGAGGUGUUUCUAGUGAUGCUGGAUUAAAUAGUUGAAUCUUCCUUUCUCCUCCUCAAUAAGGAAUGAAGAUUUCUUAAUUUUUCCUUCAUCUGAGAAACUUCAUCUCUUGCUAGACCACAAACGUCAAGACUCCUCACUGAUUCUCCUUUAAGUCUUCAGCCCACUGCUUAUUUUGAUAUUAGGAUAGGGAAUGAAGGGUGUGUGGCGACUUAAGAAGAUCAUCCAUGUGCUCAUAAAGCUGUUCUAAUCCAAGCACACCACUGCAGAUUGUAGCUUCUUCUGGACUGGUUGAUACUUGUAAUAUUUUGAGCUCAUUCAGCUCUUCUUCCAAUUUCUGGCUUGGAUGUGAUUUCCUGGGAAAA